AAAAAAGCAGAGGUUUGUACUUUUCUCCUCUGAGCAGGCCUUUCGUAAACUUCAGGGAAAUUAUUUGCACCAUUAUUGGGUGAACCUUUGUAAACUAUACUUGUGAAUAAAGGUUCAAUAAAUGUGGCGACAUUA
This is a non-coding RNA of Amborella trichopoda, 135 nucleotides long. Lineage: Eukaryota; Viridiplantae; Streptophyta; Magnoliopsida; Amborellales; Amborellaceae. The record is from Rfam.